This 437-nucleotide long non-coding RNA is filed under the name Carica papaya (papaya). RNAcentral's name for it is "long non-coding RNA (CPAP_LNC010858)". Lineage: Eukaryota; Viridiplantae; Streptophyta; Magnoliopsida; Brassicales; Caricaceae. The record is from RNAcentral.
AAACUUAAUAAUUAAUAACAGUGUGUUUUGUAAAACUUAAAAAAUUCUAAAAUUAAUUACGUAUCACCAGUGGAGCCAGUAACUGGUUGGUACGAAAUUAUUUAUUUUGUCUAUACUAUCUAUCUAUUGCUAGGAUAUAUUUGUUGGCUUGCCGCGUGCACUUUUAUUUAUAGAUUUAUUUUCCCUCUUGUUGUUGAUUGCUUAACUGUUUCUCUCAUUUGUUGAUUGAUUGAAAUAAAUAUCUUAAUCACGUUUUUUUUUAUUUACAUUUUGGCUAUUUGUAUGAUUUAUUGUUGAUUGGUAAAAUUGAGGAAUGGGGCUAAGAAGUCCCAUACCGGAAGGGGUUGGGAAGUAUAGUUCACCUUUAUACCGGACGAGAUAUUGAGGCAGUAGCAUAUUUGGUGCCCAUUAUCAGACGGGGUAUGAGGUCAGCCGAU